RNAcentral lists this ribosomal RNA (294 nucleotides) under uncultured Roseovarius sp. RNAcentral describes it as "partial 16S ribosomal RNA". It matches the Rfam family "Bacterial small subunit ribosomal RNA", at positions 1190 to 1503 of the family's 1533-position model. Lineage: Bacteria; Pseudomonadati; Pseudomonadota; Alphaproteobacteria; Rhodobacterales; Roseobacteraceae. The record is from RNAcentral.
UCCUCAUGGCCCUUACGGGUUGGGCUACACACGUGCUACAAUGGUGGUGACAGUGGGUUAAUCCCCAAAAACCAUCUCAGUUCGGAUUGUCGUCUGCAACUCGACGGCAUGAAGUCGGAAUCGCUAGUAAUCGCGUAACAGCAUGACGCGGUGAAUACGUUCCCGGGCCUUGUACACACCGCCCGUCACACCAUGGGAGUUGGGUUUACCCGAAGACGGUGCGCCAACCUUUAUAGGGGGCAGCUGGCCACGGUAAGCUCAGCGACUGGGGUGAAGUCGUAACAAGGUAGCCGU